UACGUAGGGGGCAAGCGUUAUCCGGAUUUAUUGGGUUUAAAGGGUGCGUAGGCGGGAUGCCAAGUCAGCGGUAAAAAUGCGGUGCUCAACGCCGUCGAGCCGUUGAAACUGGCGUUCCUGAGUGGGCGAGAAGUAUGCGGAAUGCGUGGUGUAGCGGUGAAAUGCAUAGAUAUCACGCAGAACUCCGAUUGCGAAGGCAGCAUACCGGCGCCCUACUGACGCUGAGGCACGAAAGCGUGGGGAGCAAACAGG
This 252-nucleotide ribosomal RNA is filed under the name uncultured bacterium. Its description in RNAcentral is "partial 16S ribosomal RNA". It matches the Rfam family "Bacterial small subunit ribosomal RNA", at positions 524 to 776 of the family's 1533-position model. The record is from RNAcentral.